UGCAAGUCGAGGGGUAGAGUUAGCUUGCUAGCUUGAGACCGGCGCACGGGUGCGUAACGCGUAUGCAACCUACCUUAAUCAGGGGGAUAGCCCGAAGAAAUUCGGAUUAACACCGCAUAAAAUCACAGAAUAGCAUUAUUCAAUGAUCAAAUAUUUAUAGGAUUAAGAUGGGCAUGCGUGUCAUUAGCUAGUUGGCGGGGUAACGGCCCACCAAGGCGACGAUGACUAGGGGAUCUGAGAGGAUGACCCCCCACACUGGUACUGAGACACGGACCAGACUCCUACGGGAGGCAGCAGUAAGGAAUAUUGGUCAAUGGAGGCAACUCUGAACCAGCCAUGCCGCGUGCAGGAAGACUGCCCUAUGGGUUGUAAACUGCUUUUAUCUGGGAAUAAACCUAUUUACGUGUAGAUAGCUGAAUGUACCAGAAGAAUAAGGAUCGGCUAACUCCGUGCCAGCAGCCGCGGUAAUACGGAGGAUCCAAGCGUUAUCCGGAUUUAUUGGGUUUAAAGGGUGCGUAGGCGGCCUGUUAAGUCAGAGGUGAAAGACGGUAGCUCAACUAUCGCAGUGCCUUUGAUACUGAUGGGCUUGAAUGGACUAGAGGUAGGCGGAAUGAGACAAGUAGCGGUGAAAUGCAUAGAUAUGUCUCAGAACACCGAUUGCGAAGGCAGCUUACUAUGGUUUUAUUGACGCUGAGGCACG
This 700-nucleotide ribosomal RNA is filed under the name uncultured bacterium. RNAcentral's name for it is "bacterial SSU rRNA". It matches the Rfam family "Bacterial small subunit ribosomal RNA", at positions 56 to 755 of the family's 1533-position model. The record is from RNAcentral.